CGCGCUCGGAGGCCGCGAGCACGGCACUGCACUCCUCUGGGUUCGUGGAUCCGCUUCUUCGUCGGGAAUCGACGAAGCGAGAAAUGAUUUCUGAUGUUGGAGAAUCUAAUACUGCAGACGGCGCAAAAUAGCUAUUUUUCUGCAGAUAUGACUCUUCUCCAGAGACGUACUCAAACAUUCCCACUUUUUUCAGCAAAUUAUGGAUUACCUCCCGGAUAGGAGAGACCAUCACGAGCCAACAAAAAGCGAACGACGAGGAUGGGAUUCGAACCCACGCGUGCAGAGCACAUUGGAUUAGCAGUCCAACGCCUUAACCACUCGGCCACCUCGUCCGUUGCCAAAAGGAAGUGCGUUUACCAAAGCAACUUGUCCGUUGUAAUCGUCCGUAAUUGAGAUUAUAUAUGUUCUAAGUAGUGAAUGUGAAGUUCUCAUAACGAAUCGUUCCCGAGUCGAAAAGUACAAGAGAUUCGAUUAUCCGUAAAAAUAUUUAUUAUUGAAUUU
Molecule: long non-coding RNA, 501 nt
Organism: Temnothorax curvispinosus
Lineage: Eukaryota; Metazoa; Arthropoda; Insecta; Hymenoptera; Formicidae
Exons: 3
Source: RefSeq, a predicted model, not a curated record